RNAcentral lists this ribosomal RNA (253 nucleotides) under uncultured bacterium. Its description in RNAcentral is "partial 16S ribosomal RNA". It matches the Rfam family "Bacterial small subunit ribosomal RNA", at positions 524 to 776 of the family's 1533-position model. The record is from RNAcentral.
UACGUAGGGUGCGAGCGUUGUCCGGAAUUAUUGGGCGUAAAGGGCUCGUAGGCGGUUUGUCGCGUCGGGAGUGAAAUCCACUGGCUUAACUGGUGGCUUGCUUUCGAUACGGGCAGGCUAGAGUUCGGUAGGGGAGACUGGAAUUCCUGGUGUAGCGGUGAAAUGCGCAGAUAUCAGGAGGAACACCGGUGGCGAAGGCGGGUCUCUGGGCCGAUACUGACGCUGAGGAGCGAAAGCGUGGGGAGCGAACAGG